This 187-nucleotide small nuclear RNA is filed under the name Carassius auratus (goldfish). RNAcentral describes it as "U2 spliceosomal RNA (ENSCARG00000032062.1)". It matches the Rfam family "U2 spliceosomal RNA". From Rfam's summary of the family: U2 is a small nuclear RNA (snRNA) component of the spliceosome (involved in pre-mRNA splicing). Complementary binding between U2 snRNA (in an area lying towards the 5' end but 3' to hairpin I) and the branchpoint sequence (BPS) of the intron results the bulging out of an unpaired adenosine, on the BPS, which initiates a nucleophilic attack at the intronic 5' splice site, thus starting the first of two transesterification reactions that mediate splicing. Lineage: Eukaryota; Metazoa; Chordata; Actinopteri; Cypriniformes; Cyprinidae. The record is from Rfam by way of RNAcentral.
AAAGUAUAAAAAAAAAAAAAAAAAAAAAAAAAAAUCUGUUCUUAUCAGUUUAAUAUCUGAUACGUCCCCCAUCCGGGGACUACAUAUUAAAUGGAUUUUUAGAUCACGGAGCUGGAGCCGGGGCUUGCUCCGUCCGCUCCAUGCAUCGGCCUGGUAUUGCAGUGUCUCCAGGAACGGUGUGCUUUCC